CAGGAGGUAGUUUAUUUAAAAUAUUAAUUUUGGGGAUUAAUGAUAAAGUUAUUCUUU
RNAcentral lists this transfer RNA (57 nucleotides) under Bactrocera dorsalis (oriental fruit fly). RNAcentral's name for it is "partial tRNA-Pro". The record is from RNAcentral. Lineage: Eukaryota; Metazoa; Arthropoda; Insecta; Diptera; Tephritidae.